UACGGGGGGAGCAAGCGUUGUUCGGAUUUACUGGGCGUAAAGGGCGCGUAGGCGGCCUCUGCAAGUCGACUGUGAAAUCUCCGGGCUUAACCCGGAAAGGUCAGCCGAUACUGCAGGGCUAGAGUGCAGAAGGGGCAACUGGAAUUCUCGGUGUAGCGGUGAAAUGCGUAGAUACUGGGAGGAACACCGGUGGCGAAGGCGGCUACCUGGACCGGUUCUGACGCUGAUGCGCGAAAGCGUGGGUAGCAAACAGG
Molecule: ribosomal RNA, 254 nt
Filed under: uncultured bacterium
Lineage: Bacteria
Description: partial 16S ribosomal RNA
Rfam family: Bacterial small subunit ribosomal RNA
Source: RNAcentral